GUUCAACUUGAGUCGGCUUUUAUAGUGGAAAACUGAGAGAUAGUCGGUAGUCGAUAUUUUGGUUUUUGCAGUGAAAGCCAAAAUAUGCAUCGAAAUGAAGUCGAUUUUUUGGCUUUUACAGUGAAAGCCUGCAUUCUUAAUGUCGAUUUAAAAUCACAGUCGGGAUGUCGAUUUUUGUAAGAAGAUCGAAAUAUAGUUGACACUAAAGCAAUUGAUUUUCUGACUUUUACAGUGAAAGCCAAAGCAUAAUUGGAGUCGAUUUUUACAGUGGAAGAUCAAAGUAUGUUCUGUACCGAGACAGUCAAUAGUUUGGCUUUUACAGUGAAAGCCAAAAUAUAGUCGGUUGUUGCCCAGCUAUGCAACCCAAGAGGGGGGGGGGGUGAAUUGGAUUUCUAAAAAUUUUAAGCUUAACUUAUGACUUAUGAAAAAUGAUUGACAAUAGCUAAAUAAAUAGG
Molecule: long non-coding RNA, 455 nt
Filed under: Elaeis guineensis (African oil palm)
Lineage: Eukaryota; Viridiplantae; Streptophyta; Magnoliopsida; Arecales; Arecaceae
Description: long non-coding RNA (EGUI_LNC000193)
Source: RNAcentral